Carassius gibelio (silver crucian carp) is the source of this 1596-nucleotide non-coding RNA. The record is from the annotation of a RefSeq genome assembly. Lineage: Eukaryota; Metazoa; Chordata; Actinopteri; Cypriniformes; Cyprinidae.
UUAUAACUCUGUGAGUUUGAGAAUCUGAACAACAGCAAUCAUGAGCUUCUUCACCAUCUUCAUCUGGAUCUUCACCAGCUACUGUUUCACAGAAUCAGCAGCUGGAGUCACAGUCACUCAGACGCCUGCAGAGAAACCUGUUCAACCAGGAGACAAAGUUACCAUGUCCUGUAAAACCAGUCCUGAAGUUUACCAGGGUUGGGGUGUUCAGCCUUUACACUGGUACUUACAGAAACCUGGAGAAGCUCCUAAACUCCUGAUUUAUGAUGCAAACACUCUCCAGUCAGGAACUCCAUCUAGAUUCAGUGGCAGUGGAUCUAACAGUGAUUUCACUCUGACCAUCAGUGGAGUCCAGACUGAAGAUGCUGGACAUUAUUACUGUCAGAGUGUACACUACAUCAGUAGUAGCUGGGUGUUCACACAGUGAUAAAGCGUGGUACAAAAACCUGUGUCAGUCAGAGUCACAGUGACUGAACUGAUGCUGCAGCUGCUCAAACACUAUCACUCACUACUGACACACAGAGACCAAACACACAACUACACAUGAGCUCACAACUGAGUCAGGAGUCACAUCAGCUCUAUUAGACUGGGAUCUGUCCUGUGACAGAUGGGUUUGUCUCAGCUAUACUCAGAUUCAGAGAAAACUGAGAGAUAAACAAAUAUCAAAGCAAACAAUUAUAUUGCAAUAUCUUGUUUUGGUUUGUACAUUACAUUUUGCACAUUAAACUACAAACCAUUAAACUAGCAUUAACUUCUUAACUUCUUCAUCUCAAGCUGAUAAUUAAUUUCUUACUCAUAACUCAUUUCUGAUGAGCAGAAGUGAAACUGUUCCAGUUCAGAGCGUUUAACCGAUCAAACAGAGAAACUGUGAGUUUGAGCUGAAAUCAGAUUUGCAUUGACAGCUUUAGUGAUUCUGAUGAUCUCAGAAUAGAGCAGCUCCGUCUCCAGAGACCAUGUUCAAACCCCAAGAGCUUCAGUUCACAUUUACUGCUAAACACAGCUGUUCUCAACUAUUACAAUCCAUCAACAGCAGCUGAAACUUUAGUGAAGGAAGGACACACUGAUCAAUGAUGCAGUCGGACACAAAUGGAAGGCGUUCAGAAGCUUUAUUGAAUGAACAGCAAUGGCAGCACAUUGAAAGACUGCUUGAGUAUUGAGCUGUAAAUCAGGAGACUGCUGUGAAUCCUGCUGCUCUUCACUGGAGAAACAUCAGCACUCGGAGCUCUUGAGGAACGAGGUCUCCUGAGCAGCUCCGUCAUGUGUUACUCUGCAGACGAAGCGCUCGCCGGCUUCCCAGCGUGCUUUGCUGAGGCUCAGGACGCUGCUGCGGCUGUAGCGUCCGUCCCGCUCGCUCUCUGCGCUGGUCUGAACCCCCUCGGUGACCUCUGACCCGUCCAGCGUCCAGCUCACCUGCGCCCCCUGUGGAGAGUAAGAGCUGAGCAGACAGAGCAGUGCGGCUGAGUCUCCAGAGAUCUGCAGAGAAGAGGGAGGCAGCAGAGACACGGAGGGCUUCACGGAGGGACCAGCUGAAACACACACACACACAGAGAGAGAGAGACACACACACACACACACACACACACAGAGAGAGAGAGA